RNAcentral lists this ribosomal RNA (465 nucleotides) under Vreelandella stevensii. RNAcentral describes it as "partial 16S ribosomal RNA". It matches the Rfam family "Bacterial small subunit ribosomal RNA", at positions 338 to 795 of the family's 1533-position model. The record is from RNAcentral. Lineage: Bacteria; Pseudomonadati; Pseudomonadota; Gammaproteobacteria; Oceanospirillales; Halomonadaceae.
CCUACGGGCGGCUGCAGUGGGGAAUAUUGGACAAUGGGCGAAAGCCUGAUCCAGCCAUGCCGCGUGUGUGAAGAAGGCCUUCGGGUUGUAAAGCACUUUCAGUGGGGAAGAAAGCCUUGGGGCUAAUACCCUCGAGGAAGGACAUCACCCACAGAAGAAGCACCGGCUAACUCCGUGCCAGCAGCCGCGGUAAUACGGAGGGUGCGAGCGUUAAUCGGAAUUACUGAGCGUAAAGCGCGCGUAGGCGGUCUGAUAAGCCGGUUGUGAAAGCCCCGGGCUCAACCUGGGAACGGCAUCCGGAACUGUCAGGCUAGAGUGCAGGAGAGGAAGGUAGAAUUCCCGGUGUAGCGGUGAAAUGCGUAGAGAUCGGGAGGAAUACCAGUGGCGAAGGCGGCCUUCUGGACUGACACUGACGCUGAGGUGCGAAAGCGUGGGUAGCAAACAGGAUUAGAUACCCUUGUAGUC